CAACAGGGAUUGCCCCCAGUAACGGCGAGUGAAGCGGCAACAGCUCAAAUUUGAAAUCUGGCCCUUGGGUCCGAGUUGUAAUUUGUAGAGGAUGCUUUUGGCGAGGUGCCUUCCGAGUUCCCUGGAACGGGACGCCAUAGAGGGUGAGAGCCCCGUCUGGUCGGACACCGAGCCUCUGUAAAGCUCCUUCGACGAGUCGAGUAGUUUGGGAAUGCUGCUCAAAAUGGGAGGUAUAUGUCUUCUAAAGCUAAAUAUUGGCCAGAGACCGAUAGCGCACAAGUAGAGUGAUCGAAAGAUGAAAAGCACUUYGAAAAGAGGGUUAAAAAGUACGUGAAAUUGUUGAAAGGGAAGCGCCUAUGACCAGACUUGGGCCCGGUGAAUCAUCCAGCGUUCUCGCUGGUGCACUUUGCCGGGCACAGGCCAGCAUCAGUUUGGCGCGGGGGAAAAAGGCUUUGGGAAUGUGGCUCCCUCGGGAGUGUUAUAGCCCAUUGUGUAAUACCCUGCGCCGGACUGAGGUACGCGCAUUGCAAGGAUGCUGGCGUAAUGGUCAUCAGCGACCCGUCUUGAAACACGGACCAAGGAGUCGUCUUCGUAUGCGAGUGUUCGGGUGUCAAACCCCUACGCGUAAUGAAAGUGAACGCAGGUGAGAGCUUCGGCGCAUCAUCGACCGAUCCUGAUGUUCUCGGAUGGAUUUGAGUAAGAGCAUACGGGGCCGGACCCGAAAGAAGGUGAACUAUGCCUGUAUAGGGUGAAGCCAGAGGAAACUCUGGUGGAGGCUCGCAGCGGUUCUGACGUGCGAAUCGAUCGUCAAAUAUGGGCAUGGGGGCGAAAGACUAAUCGAACCUUCUAGUAGCUGGUUUCCGCCGAAGUCCCC
This 874-nucleotide ribosomal RNA is filed under the name Lecanicillium pissodis. RNAcentral describes it as "partial large subunit ribosomal RNA". Lineage: Eukaryota; Fungi; Ascomycota; Sordariomycetes; Hypocreales; Cordycipitaceae. The record is from RNAcentral.